GAGUUUGAUCAUGGCUCAGAACGAACGCUGGCGGCGCGUCUUAAGCAUGCAAGUCGAACGGUAAGGGAGAGCUUGCUCUCCCCUAGAGUGGCGGACUGGUGAGUAACGCGUAGGUGACCUACCCUGAAGAUGGGGAUAGCUAGUAGAAAUAUUAGAUAAUACCGAAUAAGCUCAUUUGCAUAAAGGCAGAUGAGGAAAGGAGCUACGGCUCCGCUUUAGGAUGGGCCUGCGUCCCAUUAGCUAAGUUGGUGAGGUAAAGGCUUACCAAGGCAACGAUGGGUAUCCGGCCUGAGAGGGUGAACGGACACAUUGGGACUGAGAUACGGCCCAAACUCCUACGGGAGGCAGCAGCUAAGAAUCUUCCGCAAUGGACGAAAGUCUGACGGAGCGACGCCGUGUGAAUGAAGAAGGCUGAAAAGUUGUAAAAUUCUUUUGCAGAUGAAGAAUAAGGAUAGGAGGGAAUGCCUAUCUGAUGACGGUAAUCAUGCGAAU
This 492-nucleotide ribosomal RNA is filed under the name Treponema sp. canine oral taxon 207. Its description in RNAcentral is "bacterial SSU rRNA". It matches the Rfam family "Bacterial small subunit ribosomal RNA", at positions 9 to 487 of the family's 1533-position model. The record is from RNAcentral. Lineage: Bacteria; Pseudomonadati; Spirochaetota; Spirochaetia; Treponematales; Treponemataceae.